Molecule: long non-coding RNA, 5002 nt
Filed under: Lynx pardinus (Iberian lynx)
Lineage: Eukaryota; Metazoa; Chordata; Mammalia; Carnivora; Felidae
Source: RNAcentral
GGGCGGGGCAGGGGAGGGACCAGAGCCCUGGCGCUGGCUCGCUUCUCCUCGGCCAGGAAUCCCAGUCCUCGGGGCCCGGGGGUCUUGUUUUGUUUAGUUUUUAGCACUUCUCACCAGAGUGAUGACAGCACCCGAGUUGCUUCUGGGAUGGAAAUGUUUCAAUUACGAGGAGGAACAAAGCUAAAGUCUGAUGGUUGCUAGUCGUGACGAGAUGAAACACGAGAAAGCAAGCAUGUCGUGCUUUUUCUGGUCAGUACCUUAAGUCCUGCAACGUUCUCUAGCCUCUGCCCCAUGGUUUUUCUCCCUUAAGAAAAAAAAAUGAGAAAAAGAAAAAAAGUUAAGAAGGUAUUCUAUGUAGGAGUUUUAAUUUAUUUUGUGAUACCAGUUUCAAUCACUGUAGAGAAGCCCCCAGUGAUGAAUUUAAAUACUGAGGAAAGGGUUUUGUGUGCGUGUGCGUGUGUGUGUGUGUGUGUGUGUGUGUGUAAGACAGGACAGUUUUCGGGUUUCUUUUGGUUUUUUGGUUUUGUUUUCGUGUUUUGGUUUUGGUUUUGGUUUUCAAACAUUUAUCUACCUCACUCUUCUUUUUUAUAUGUGUAUAUAUACAGAAGAAUACAUAUCCCAUCUCUCAGCACCUGACAAUAUGCCGUUGAUAUCGGUAACCUCAUCCACACCACAGGCCGAGCACAUGAGGCAGGGAGAGGCCAGGAGGCUGUAUUCGGGGGGUCGAAGCAACACUAACCCGCCUCUGCGCUCAUUUCAGACAGCUUGCCUUUCUCCCAGAUGUCUCGUUUCUUUCUCCUCCUCCUCCUCGCUUGGUCUCCUAAGAGGCUCCUCCUUAGGAUUCCCUUCCUGGCGGGCGGGGGGAGGCCGCCCGGCUGUCCCAGGCCGUCACUGAAACGGACUUUGCGCAGAGUGAAUGACACACAGAUUGUCAUCCGGAAGAGCGCUCGUUUUGCAGGUUUUGAGGACAGGGAGCACCGCGGGGGGGCAGUCAGUCUCUGGGCGUAACCGCACCUGUACGCGUGCGGUGUCCGGGUCUCAGGCCGCUGCUCUGGCCGCCGAGGCCCAGGCCUGCGCCGGUUCAGUUCGGUGGUGCGGCCACAUCAGCGCUUUGAGCCCCUGGCCCGCCAGGCCUCCUGCCCGAGAAAGCAGGCCUUCCUGCACUUGAGGAUGCACGCGGGAGAAAAGCUCCCCCCCCCCCCAGACUGUUCCUCCACCUCACCCUCCUCUCUUCCUCCCCCCGGGGAAAACAGAGACCAAACCUGCGGGCUGGAAGGGGCUGGCGGUCGGCGCCCGGCCUUCUCCCCGGGUGGCACUGCCUCCCGCCCGGGGCCUCACCUCCAUCCCAUCACCUGCUGCUCCCGGGCGGACGGCGCGCUGCCCGCUUCCAGACGCUGCUCUCGCAGGCACCGGUGAUCCUCUCUGGGAGACGCGGUGGCGGUUUUCCCGAAGGGCGGUGGCUCCUUUCAGAUCCCGCACCGCAGUUCCGUCCUGCGAGCACACUACUCUCUUUCCCCAGCCCCCUGGCAUCUUAAGGUCACUGAGAAAUACUGUCGGAUCAGGGUUUUCUUCUUCCGCACUGUAGGUGACCCCUGGGAAUAGUAGCCUCUCCUCUUUUGCACAAACCUACCGGUUUCCACAACUGGAUUUCUACAGAUCAUUCAGCUGGUUCUAAGGGUUUUGUUUCAACUGUCCUCGAGUUGUUGGUGUCCUUCUGUCUUUGUUUUACGUAGGUGGUUUCUCUUUAAGUAGAAAGAAAACAGUAAUAGCGUAGUGCCCAUCCUAACGAAAGCUUCAGAGACACUUAAAUAAAAGAAAAUUUUGCUUGCGUGACGGUGCAGUCAUUUUACUGGACCAAACCACCCACCUUGACUUUACCAAGGCAUCAUCUGUCCACAGUUCUAGCCUCAUUUUAUGCUGAUUUUCCCACCUCUUCUUGAUUUUUCUCUUUCGUAUGCUCCACAUAAUUUAAUCAAGCUGCGUUGUGGCAUUUUUCCACGCAACCUCCUCCUGACAGCAGCUCACGCUGCUUGAAGUGACGUGAACCACUGAGGCACAUCAUGGAAUUGAUGUGAGCAUUAAAACGUUAGCACACACAGCCCUUCCCCGAGGCAGCAGGAGCUGGCGUGUUCUGGAGACACUGUCGAACGUCAGCCGUGUGAUGCCCAGACCACUCCAGCUCUCCUUUGUGGGAUGUCGUGACGUUUGACACACAGUUGGAAUGAGCUUCCUCCUUGGAAGAUGGAAGACCGUGUUCGUGGCCGGCAGCGGCCUCUCCUUCCAACCUGUCUCUUAGGACUUGGGACGACAUUUCAAUGGUAGGAAAAGUGGCUUGGUAAAAUUAAAAAAAAAAAAAAAAAAAAGUGGUGACUGUGGAACUACCCGACGGCAAAAUGCUUGGCGUGAGGUGUGGUGUGUUUUGGUCGGGAUAACAGAUUUCCGAGCCGAGUAUGAUGCCAAAUUCUAGGCCAGUCUGUCCCACCAAAGCCUCUUUCUCAGCGGCUCACCUCCGUUGGUGGGUGGCUGUGCGUGAUGCAGGCUGCUGUUGUGGCAAGGUCACACUAUAGUUAGAUCGGUGAGAAGGCUAGGAUGCUUGGCCCAAGGUCCUCAGCUGUCACUGCCGGGUCCUCCCGGGGUGGCCAGUGUCAAAGGCAACUCCUUUCCAAAACAUAGGCACCCUCCGGUUGACAGUAAUGCUCCACAGUAUGCCUUGGCCCAUUCCAGCAGUCCCAGAAACGCAUUUAAGGUUUGGGGUUCUUUUGUUACUGUUACUUCUGUGUUUGUCGGCUGUUUUUGUCGUUGUUGUUUUUGUUUUGUUUUUUUAAUUUCCUGGGCUAAGCAGCAUUGGGCGAUACGGACCAGAUCCACUCUCUAAGCACCAGUGAUGAAAGUCAAACUUUCUUCCUCCCCUCUGACUAGUCGGUGGCACAAAUGAGAACUUCAAGAGAGGAUGUUGUGUAGAUUGAACCUCUGUUGCCAGAGAUGCUGAAGAUACAGACCUUGGACAGGCCAGAGGGUUUCAUUUUGGGCGUCCGGCUUAGAUGGCUAGUUGGUCACUUAGAGAAAAAGGAGAUGAACACCCCUUGAGGGUGGGAUGAUCAGGCAGCGGGAAACCACUGUACCAGGGUCAUGACGUGACAUGGAGCAGAGUGGCGAGCAGAAGGGUACAGGGCUAGCAAGAAGUGUGGGCCACGUUUUGAACUUGAUGGUUUCUGACGGUAUCAGACCACAUCAAGGCGCAACAGUCAUCCAAGGGCAUUUGGUUUCAACAAAUAAACCUGACAUCCUACUUUGGAAACGGUCGUUGCAGUUAAGUGAGAUCGUUCAAGAAUGCGAACUGCAUCACAACGGUCGGUUGUCAGUUCUGGGGCAUGACUUUAGGGUUUUGUUUUACUUUGUUAUGCAAGAACAUAAUGAUCACUCAUCUGUACGUCCACGUUUGUGUGUGUCCACAUCUUUCUGGUAAACAUUGUUUUAAUUAGUCACUCAUUAGUGUUUUCAAUAGGGCUCUUAAGUCCAGUAGAUUACGGGUAGUCAGUUGACGAAGAUCUGGUUUACAAGAACUAAUUAAAUGUUUCAUUGCAUUUUUGUAAGAACAUAGAAUAAUUUUAUAAAAUGUUUGUAGUUUAUAAUUGCCGAAAAUAAUUUAAAGACACUUUUUUUCUCUGUGUGUGCAAAUGUGUGUUUGUGAUCCAUUUUUUAGGACACCUGUUUACUAGCUAGCUUUACAAUAUGCCAAAAAAAAAAAAAAGUUUUUGUUUUUGUUUUUUUUCCCCCUGACCCAGGCCGUUGGUUCACCCUCUUUUCCCCCAUGCUUUGUGCCCUAGUUUAUAACAAAGGAAUGAUGAUUUAAGAAGUAGUUCUGUAUCUUCAGUAUCUUGGUCUUCCAGAACCCUCUGGUUGGGAAGGGGAUCAUCUUUCACUGGUCAUUUCCCUUUGGAGUGUAAGACUGAAGGAGCCUCAUUGGCCAAGCACCCAGCAGAGGCGUUGCAGCCCAGCGGUGGCCCUGGCACUCCUGAGCGUCUGGUUUGGUUGGUCGGGCCGUCACCGUGGGCAUGCAGUGCCUGGAGAGGGAAGGACCUGAUGGCGAGGUGAUCACAGCAUGCAGACUUAUCACGCUAAUGAUGAUAACUCUGUGCGCACAGGCCGUUUGCUUACAUGCCUCAUAUCGUGAUUAGCGCUUUGUUCUAACAAGGAAGAGACCCUAUUUCUUUUCUUUAAGGCAGAACACCGAAGAUACAUUUUUCCAGUCCAAAACAAGUCCUUUUGCGUAAAAAGUACACACACACACACACACAAAAAUGUGUUUAAGUCGGACUCCAUUUCCUCUCGCUCCCAAUGGAUUAUUGGCCAUGUCUACACUACUCCACAAAAUCUCCAUCGUUAUAAACAUCUGGAUGUUUUGCACUACAUGGGAGAAAGGUCCAGAAACAAUUGGUUUUUUGUUUUCAACUGUUCAUUCAGAUAUUUGGCGUUGCAUACACACACCCACAGGUGGAACAGGUGCUUGGCGAAAACACCUGUCUGCUUUCUAAGCCAGUGAGGUUGAGGUGAGAGGUUUGCCAGCGUGUCUACCUCUGGGGCAAAGAGAAAAAAGAAUCAAACCAGAAGGCGCAAUGGAAUGGAUGCAUCGCAAAUAACGCAUUUUCUGAGUUUUCUUGUUUAAAAAAAGUUUUUUAAAAAAGUAUAAAAAAAGGUAAUAACAUGGCCAAUUUGUUACAUAAAAUGACUUUCUGUGUAUAAAUUAUUCCUAAAAAAAAUCCUCUGUUUAUAUAAAAAAAAUCAGUAGAUGAAAAAAAUUUCAAAAUGUUUUUGUAUAUUCUGUUGUAAGAAUUUAUUCCUGUUACUGCGAUAUACUCUGGAUUCUUUACAUUAUGAAAAAAAAAAAAGAAACUUUGUCUAUUUUGAAUGGCUGAAGCUAAGGCAACUUUAGUUUCUCUUACUCUGCUUUUUUCUAGUAGUUAAAGUACUACAUGGUUUAAGUUAAAUAAAAAGAAUUCUG